Bombus pascuorum is the source of this 275-nucleotide long non-coding RNA. RefSeq lists it as uncharacterized. The record is from RefSeq and is a predicted model, not a curated record. The transcript has 2 exons. Lineage: Eukaryota; Metazoa; Arthropoda; Insecta; Hymenoptera; Apidae.
UUGUGGAAUUGAGUAAGCAGAAAGUCGAAAGUAGGUAACAGUUCUGUAAGAUUCUGUCCGAGAUUGGAAGAUUACUUAAUUCUCCGAAGCAGCGGUUCUCAAUCACCGUGUUCGCGUAUCUUCGAUGCGAAUAAACCGACAACUUGACGCUAAGGGUAGACGAGACGAUUCAAGAAACCCGAUGAAGAAGCGAGAUGUUGUACUUUGAAGGAUAUACAAGUUCCUUUUUCCUCGAGAAACUUGCCUUCUUCAUCGGAAGAACAGGAAUUCCAAUU